CUAGCUACUUGGGAGGCUGAGGGUGGAGGAUCCUUUGACCCCAGGAGUUCAAGUACAGCCUGGGUAACAGAGAAAAACCAGGUGACUUAAAAAAAAAAUGUAGGUGCCACUCAGGGGUUCAAUCCCCAGACCACUGGCAUUUGAAAGCAUGUUACAUAAGCGUUUCAUAUUGCUGGGGUCACCAAAUCAAUUUAGUAUGUCACUAAUGGCAUGAAAAAAAGACAUAAUACAAAGUGCAGAAUGUUUAAUAAAUCUUUUGCUUCAAGUAUAAAUCAUGUGUAUACUGGGUCAUUGCAAAAUGUAUUUCUUAUGUGAGUUGUGGCUAAAACAUUUGAAAGACAUUGAUCUAAAUUAACGGUCUUCAAAAUUUUGUUUGCAUGUAUUUAUCAUUGUAAGUUUAGUUACAAAGGAUUUCAUGUGGAUUGUAAGCAUUAGCAUUGUUAAAUAAAACUUUUAAAAAUA
This 462-nucleotide long non-coding RNA is filed under the name Pan troglodytes (chimpanzee). RNAcentral's name for it is "lincRNA". Lineage: Eukaryota; Metazoa; Chordata; Mammalia; Primates; Hominidae. The record is from RNAcentral.